This 253-nucleotide ribosomal RNA is filed under the name uncultured bacterium. Its description in RNAcentral is "partial 16S ribosomal RNA". It matches the Rfam family "Bacterial small subunit ribosomal RNA", at positions 524 to 776 of the family's 1533-position model. The record is from RNAcentral.
UACGUAGGCAGCAAGCGUUGUUCGGAGUUACUGGGCGUAAAGGGUGUGUAGGCGGCUUUUUAAGUUUGGUGUGAAAUCUCCCGGCUUAACUGGGAGGGUGCGCCGAAUACUGAAAGGCUAGAGUGCGGGAGAGGAAAGUGGAAUUCCUGGUGUAGCGGUGAAAUGCGUAGAUAUCAGGAGGAACACCGGUGGUGUAGACGGCUUUCUGGACCGUAACUGACGCUGAGACACGAAAGCGUGGGUAGCAAACAGG